RNAcentral lists this ribosomal RNA (253 nucleotides) under uncultured bacterium. RNAcentral describes it as "partial 16S ribosomal RNA". It matches the Rfam family "Bacterial small subunit ribosomal RNA", at positions 524 to 776 of the family's 1533-position model. The record is from RNAcentral.
UACGGAGGGUGCAAGCGUUAUCCGGAUUUACUGGGUUUAAAGGGUGCGUAGGCGGUCAGGUACGUCAGUGGUGAAAUCCUCAAGCUUAACUUGAGAACUGCCAUUGAUACUAUCUGUCUUGAAUAUCCUGGAGGUGAGCGGAAUAUGUCAUGUAGCGGUGAAAUGCUUAGAUAUGACAUAGAACACCCAUUGCGAAGGCAGCUCACUACGGGAUUAUUGACACUGAGGCACGAAAGCGUGGGGAUCAAACAGG